GACGAACGCUGGCGGCGUGCUUAACACAUGCAAGUCGAACGGUAAGGCCCUUCGGGGUACACGAGUGGCGAACGGGUGAGUAACACGUGGGUGAUCUGCCCUGCACUUCGGGAUAAGCCUGGGAAACUGGGUCUAAUACCGGAUAGGACUCCUGGCUUCAUGGUGGGGGGUGGAAAGCUUUUGCGGUGUGGGAUGGGCCCGCGGGCUCUCAGCUUGUGGGUGGGGUAAUGGCCUACCAAGGCGACGACGGGUAGCCGGCCUGAGAGGGUGACCGGUCACACUGGGACUGAGAUACGGCCCAGACUCCUACGGGAGGCAGCAGUGGGGAAUAUUGCACAAUGGGCGCAAGCCUGAUGCAGCGACGCCGCGUGAGGGAUGACGGCCUUCGGGUUGUAAACCUCUUUCAGCUAUGACGAAGCGCAAGUGACGGUAGUAGCAGAAGAAGGACCGGCCAACUACGUGCCAGCCGCCGCCGUAA
This 478-nucleotide ribosomal RNA is filed under the name uncultured bacterium. RNAcentral describes it as "partial 16S ribosomal RNA". It matches the Rfam family "Bacterial small subunit ribosomal RNA", at positions 28 to 523 of the family's 1533-position model. The record is from RNAcentral.